This 48-nucleotide transfer RNA is filed under the name Acinetobacter baumannii. RNAcentral describes it as "tRNA-Ser". Lineage: Bacteria; Pseudomonadati; Pseudomonadota; Gammaproteobacteria; Moraxellales; Moraxellaceae. The record is from RNAcentral.
UGCCUUACAAGCAGAAUGUCGGCGGUUCGAUCCCGUCAGCGCCCACCA